CUGCAUGAUGAUCUCUUGUUUGUGCCAUCGUGUCUGGGCCACUGAUGCUCCGUGAUGGAACUGAGGAUCUGAGCAG
Small nucleolar RNA from Pelodiscus sinensis (Chinese soft-shelled turtle), 76 nucleotides. Ensembl annotates it as small nucleolar RNA SNORD66. Lineage: Eukaryota; Metazoa; Chordata; Testudines; Trionychidae. The record is from Ensembl.